UACACUCCUGCGGGAGGCAGCAGUGGGGAAUUUUGGACAAUGGGCGAAAGCCUGAUCCAGCCAUGCCGCGUGCAGGAUGAAGGCCUUCGGGUUGUAAACUGCUUUUGUACGGAACGAAACGGCCUUUUCUAAUAAAGAGGGCUAAUGACGGUACCGUAAGAAUAAGCACCGGCUAACUACGUGCCAGCAGCCGCGGUAAUACGUAGGGUGCAAGCGUUAAUCGGAAUUACUGGGCGUAAAGCGUGCGCAGGCGGUUAUGUAAGACAGUUGUGAAAUCCCCGGGCUCAACCUGGGAACUGCAUCUGUGACUGCAUAGCUAGAGUACGGUAGAGGGGGAUGGAAUUCCGCGUGUAGCAGUGAAAUGCGUAGAUAUGCGGAGGAACACCGAUGGCGAAGGCAAUCCCCUGGACCUGUACUGACGCUCAUGCACGAAAGCGUGGGGAGCAAACAGGAUUAGAUACCCCUGUAGUCCCAUGAU
RNAcentral lists this ribosomal RNA (478 nucleotides) under uncultured organism. RNAcentral's name for it is "partial 16S ribosomal RNA". It matches the Rfam family "Bacterial small subunit ribosomal RNA", at positions 332 to 801 of the family's 1533-position model. The record is from RNAcentral.